RNAcentral lists this transfer RNA (72 nucleotides) under Marmota monax (woodchuck). Its description in RNAcentral is "tRNA.Asp". Lineage: Eukaryota; Metazoa; Chordata; Mammalia; Rodentia; Sciuridae. The record is from RNAcentral.
UGGGGUGUAGGUCAAUGGUAGAUUGCUUUCCUAUCAUGAGUAAGAUCCAGGGUUCAAUCCCCAGUACCAUAA